AACGAACGCUGGCGGCAGGCCUAACACAUGCAAGUCGAGCGAACCCUUCGGGGUUAGCGGCGGACGGGUUAGUAACGCGUGGGAAUAUACCCUUUGGUACGGAAUAGCCUCGGGAAACUGAGAGUAAUACCGUAUGUGCCCUUCGGGGGAAAGAUUUAUCGCCAAAGGAUUAGCCCGCGUUGGAUUAGAUAGUUGGUGGGGUAAUGGCCUACCAAGUCUACGAUCCAUAGCUGGUUUGAGAGGAUGAUCAGCAACACUGGGACUGAGACACGGCCCAGACUCCUACGGGAGGCAGCAGUGGGGAAUCUUAGACAAUGGGCGCAAGCCUGAUCUAGCCAUGCCGCGUGGACGAUGAAGGCCUUAGGGUUGUAAAGUCCUUUCAGAUGGGAAGAUAAUGACGGUACCAUCAGAAGAAGCCCCGGCUAACUCCGUG
Molecule: ribosomal RNA, 433 nt
Filed under: uncultured bacterium
Lineage: Bacteria
Description: bacterial SSU rRNA
Rfam family: Bacterial small subunit ribosomal RNA
Source: RNAcentral